CGGGGUGUAGCGCAGCCCGGUAGCGCGCCUGCUUUGGGAGCAGGAUGUCGCAGGUUCGAAUCCUGUCUCCCCGACCA
This 77-nucleotide transfer RNA is filed under the name Thiobacillus sp. RNAcentral describes it as "tRNA-Pro". It matches the Rfam family "tRNA". From Rfam's summary of the family: Transfer RNA (tRNA) molecules are approximately 80 nucleotides in length. Their secondary structure includes four short double-helical elements and three loops (D, anti-codon, and T loops). The record is from RNAcentral. Lineage: Bacteria; Pseudomonadati; Pseudomonadota; Betaproteobacteria; Nitrosomonadales; Thiobacillaceae.